This 452-nucleotide ribosomal RNA is filed under the name uncultured bacterium. RNAcentral's name for it is "bacterial SSU rRNA". It matches the Rfam family "Bacterial small subunit ribosomal RNA", at positions 329 to 797 of the family's 1533-position model. The record is from RNAcentral.
GAGUGGACUCCUACGGGAGGCAGCAGUAGGGAAUAUUGCUCAAUGGGGGAAACCCUGAAGCAGCAACGCCGCGUGGAGGAUGACACUUUUCGGAGCGUAAACUCCUUUUGUUAGGGAAGAACAAUGACGGUACCUAACGAAUAAGCACCGGCUAACUCCGUGCCAGCAGCCGCGGUAAUACGGAGGGUGCAAGCGUUACUCGGAAUCACUGGGCGUAAAGGACGCGUAGGCGGAUUAUCAAGUCUCUUGUGAAAUCCUAUGGCUUAACCAUAGAACUGCUUGGGAAACUGAUAAUCUAGAGUGAGGGAGAGGCAGAUGGAAUUGGUGGUGUAGGGGUAAAAUCCGUAGAGAUCACCAGGAAUACCCAUUGCGAAGGCGAUCUGCUGGAACUCAACUGACGCUAAUGCGUGAAAGCGUGGGGAGCAAACAGGAUUAGAUACCCUUGUAGUCCU